Molecule: ribosomal RNA, 454 nt
Filed under: uncultured bacterium
Lineage: Bacteria
Description: bacterial SSU rRNA
Rfam family: Bacterial small subunit ribosomal RNA
Source: RNAcentral
GAUGAACGCUGGCGGUGCGCCUAAUACAUGCAAGUCGAACGAGAACUUCAUUUGAAUUUAUUCAUACCGAAGGGAAAGUGGCGGACGAGCGAGUAACACGUAAGUAUCUACCCCGAACUCAGGGAUAACUCACCGAAAGGUGGGCUAAUACCGGAUAGUCUCGAAAGAGUAAAGCUCCGGCGGUUCGGGAGGAGCUUGCGGUCUAUCAGCUAGUUGGUGAGGUAACUGCUCACCAAGGCUAUGACGGAUAGCUGGUCUGAGAGGAUGAUCAGCCGCGAUGGGACUGAGACACGGCCCAUACUCCUACGGGAGGCAGCAGUAGGGAAUCUUCCGCAAUGGGCGAAAGCCUGACGGAGCGACACCGCGUGGAGGACGACGGCCUUCGGGUUGUAAACUCCUUUUAUGAGGGAAGAAGAUCUGACGGUACCUCAUGAAUAAGCCCCGGCUAAUUACG